This 148-nucleotide small RNA is filed under the name Mangrovibacter plantisponsor. Its description in RNAcentral is "Glm Y RNA activator of glmS mRNA". It matches the Rfam family "Glm Y RNA activator of glmS mRNA". Rfam says of the family: This family consists of a number of bacterial RNA genes of around 167 bases in length. The function of this RNA is unknown. The record is from RNAcentral. RNAcentral also lists the same sequence under 1 other name. Lineage: Bacteria; Pseudomonadati; Pseudomonadota; Gammaproteobacteria; Enterobacterales; Enterobacteriaceae.
AGUGGCUCAUUCACCUGUUUAUGUCAGCCCCAUUUGGCCGCGCUACAUAAAAACCGAAUGACGCACAAAAAGGUGCCUGCCGUCCAACUACUGAUUAUUGCAUUGCUUUAUCAGGCUCAGGGCGAAACGUUGAGUUAGGCACCGCCUG